Molecule: unclassified non-coding RNA, 149 nt
Organism: Callithrix jacchus (white-tufted-ear marmoset)
Lineage: Eukaryota; Metazoa; Chordata; Mammalia; Primates; Cebidae
Rfam family: Metazoan signal recognition particle RNA
About the family: The signal recognition particle (SRP) is a universally conserved ribonucleoprotein. It is involved in the co-translational targeting of proteins to membranes.
Source: Ensembl
GCUGGGCAUGGUGGUGCAUGCCUGUAAUCCCAGCUACUCAGGAGGCUGAGGUGGGAGAAUUGCUUGAACCCAGGAGGCGGAGGUUGCAGUGAGCCGAGAUGGCACCAUUGCACUCCAGCCUGGGUAACAAGAGCAAAACCCCAUCUCAA